Molecule: ribosomal RNA, 136 nt
Filed under: Octodon degus (degu)
Lineage: Eukaryota; Metazoa; Chordata; Mammalia; Rodentia; Octodontidae
Source: RNAcentral
GUCUGUGGCCACACCAUGCUGAAUGUGCCCAAUCUCAUCUAUCUUGGAAGCUAAGCGGGGUUGGGCUUGGUUAGUCCUUGGAUGGGAGAAAACACCGACAUUCCCACUAAUGCCAGAAAUCAACUUGCUCCAAAUU